This 478-nucleotide ribosomal RNA is filed under the name uncultured bacterium. Its description in RNAcentral is "partial 16S ribosomal RNA". It matches the Rfam family "Bacterial small subunit ribosomal RNA", at positions 28 to 523 of the family's 1533-position model. The record is from RNAcentral.
GACGAACGCUGGCGGCGUGCUUAACACAUGCAAGUCGAACGGUAAGGCCCUUCGGGGUACACGAGUGGCGAACGGGUGAGUAACACGUGGGUGAUCUGCCCUGCACUUCGGGAUAAGCCUGGGAAACUGGGUCUAAUACCGGAUAGGACUCCUGCCUGCAUGGGUGGGGGUGGAAAGCUUCUGCGGUGUGGGAUGGGCCCGCGGCCUAUCAGCUUGUUGGUGGGGUGAUGGCCUACCAAGGCGACGACGGGUAGCCAGCCUGAGAGGGUGACCGGCCACACUGGGACUGAGAUACGGCCCAGACUCCUACGGGAGGCAGCAGUGGGGAAUAUUGCACAAUGGGCGCAAGCCUGAUGCAGCGACGCCGCGUGAGGGAUGACGGCCUUCGGGUUGUAAACCUCUUUCAGCACAGACGAAGCGCAAGUGACGGUAUGUGCAGAGGAAGGACCGGCCAACUACGUGCCAGCCGCCGCCGUAA